RNAcentral lists this ribosomal RNA (256 nucleotides) under uncultured bacterium. RNAcentral's name for it is "partial small subunit ribosomal RNA". It matches the Rfam family "Bacterial small subunit ribosomal RNA", at positions 26 to 285 of the family's 1533-position model. The record is from RNAcentral.
AGGACGAACGCUGGCGGCGUGCUUAACACAUGCAAGUCGAGCGGUAAGGCCCUUCUGGGUACACGAGCGGCGAACGGGUGAGUAACACGUGGGUAACCUGCCCUGUACUGUGGGAUAAGCCUGGGAAACUGGGUCUAAUACCGCAUAUGACUGCAUCCUGCAUGGGGGUGUGGUGGAAAGUUCUGGCGGUACAGGAUGGGCCCGCGGCCUAUCAGCUUGUUGGUGGGGUGAUGGCCUACCAAGGCGACGACGGGUA